AACGCUAGCUACAGGCUUAACACAUGCAAGUCGCGGGGUAACGACGGAGAAAGCUUGCUUUUUCCGGGCGACGACCGGCGCACGGGUGAGUAACGCGUAUCCAACCUGCCCUAUACAAAGGCACAGCCCGGCGAAAGUCGGAUUAAUGCCUUAUGAAGUGAGAAGAAGACAUCUGAUUUUCACUAAAGCUGAGGCGGUAUAGGAUGGGGAUGCGUCCGAUUAGGUAGGCGGCGGGGUAACGGCCCACCGUGCCGACGAUCGGUAGGGGUUCUGAGAGGAAGGUCCCCCACACUGGAACUGAGACACGGUCCAGACUCCUACGGGAGGCAGCAGUGAGGAAUAUUGGUCAAUGGGCGAUAGCCUGAACCAGCCAAGUAGCGUGAGGGAAGACGGCCCUAUGGGUUGUAAACCUCUUUAGUCCGGGAAUAAAGUGGGCGACGUGUCGCCUAUUGCAUGUACCGGAAGAAUAAGGACCGGCUAAUUCCGUGCCAGCAGCCGCGGUAAUACGGAAGGUCCGGGCGUUAUCCGGAUUUAUUGGGUUUAAAGGGAGCGCAGGCGGUCUGAUAAGCGGGCAGUGAAAGACGGUGGCUCAACCAUCGAGGUGCUGUCCGAACUGUCGGACUUGAGUACGUGCGAGGCAGGCGGAAUUCGUGGUGUAGCGGUGAAAUGCUUAGAUAUCACGAAGAACCCCGAUUGCGAAGGCAGCUUGCCAGUGCGCCACUGACGCUAAAGCUCGAAAGUGCGGGUAUCGAACAGGAUUAGAUACCCUGGUAGUCCGCACGGUAAACGAUGGAUGCUCGCUGUUCGU
This 808-nucleotide ribosomal RNA is filed under the name uncultured bacterium. RNAcentral describes it as "bacterial SSU rRNA". It matches the Rfam family "Bacterial small subunit ribosomal RNA", at positions 32 to 827 of the family's 1533-position model. The record is from RNAcentral.